This 460-nucleotide ribosomal RNA is filed under the name uncultured bacterium. RNAcentral's name for it is "partial 16S ribosomal RNA". It matches the Rfam family "Bacterial small subunit ribosomal RNA", at positions 338 to 795 of the family's 1533-position model. The record is from RNAcentral.
CCUACGGGAGGCAGCAGUGAGGAAUAUUGGUCAAUGGACGAGAGUCUGAACCAGCCAAGUAGCGUGAAGGAUGACUGCCCUAUGGGUUGUAAACUUCUUUUAUAUGGGAAUAAAAUGUUCCACGUGUGGGAUUUUGUAUGUACCAUAUGAAUAAGGAUCGGCUAACUCCGUGCCAGCAGCCGCGGUAAUACGGAGGAUCCGAGCGUUAUCCGGAUUUAUUGGGUUUAAAGGGAGCGUAGGUGGAUUGUUAAGUCAGUUGUGAAAGUUUGAGGCUCAACCGUAAAAUUGCAGUUGAAACUGGCAGUCUUGAGUACAGUAGAGGUGGGCGGAAUGCGUGGUGUAGCGGUGAAAUGCUUAGAUAUCACGAAGAACUCCGAUUGCGAAGGCAGUUCACUGGACUGAAACUGACACUGAGGCUCGAAAGUGUGGGUAUCAAACAGGAUUAGAUACCCCAGUAGUC